CGGUUUAAGGAUACGUUCGUUGGGUAGGGGAGCGUUCUGUAAGCCUGUGAAGGUGUGUCGUGAGGCAUGCUGGAGGUAUCAGAAGUGCGAAUGCUGACAUAAGUAACGAUAAAGCGGGUGAAAAGCCCGCUCGCCGGAAGACCAAGGGUUCCUGUCCAACGUUAAUCGGGGCAGGGUGAGUCGACCCCUAAGGCGAGGCCGAAAGGCGUAGUCGAUGGGAAACGGGUUAAUAUUCCCGUACUUGGUGUUACUGCGAAGGGGGGACGGAGAAGGCUAUGUUGGCCGGGCGACGGUUGUCCCGGUUUAAGCGUGUAGGUGUGUGUUCCAGGUAAAUCCGGUUCACUUUAACACUGAGGCGUGACGACGAGGCACUACGGUGCUGAAGCAACAAAUGCCCUGCUUCCAGGAAAAGCCUCUAAGCAUCAGGUAACAUCAAAUCGUACCCCAAACCGACACAGGUGGUCAGGUAGAGAAUACCAAGGCGCUUGAGAGAACUCGGGUGAAGGAACUAGGCAAAAUGGUGCCGUAACUUCGGGAGAAGGCACGCUGACACGUAGGUGAAGUGAUUUACUCAUGGAGCUGAAGUCAGUCGAAGAUACCAGCUGGCUGCAACUGUUUAUUAAAAACACAGCACUGUGCAAACACGAAAGUGGACGUAUACGGUGUGACGCCUGCCCGGUGCCGGAAGGUUAAUUGAUGGGGUCAGCGCAAGCGAAGCUCCUGAUCGAAGCCCCGGUAAACGGCGGCCGUAACUAUAACGGUCCUAAGGUAGCGAAAUUCCUUGUCGGGUAAGUUCCGACCUGCACGAAUGGCGUAAUGAUGGCCAGGCUGUCUCCACCCGAGACUCAGUGAAAUUGAACUCGCUGUGAAGAUGCAGUGUACCCGCGGCAAGACGGAAAGACCCCGUGAACCUUUACUAUAGCUUGACACUGAACAUUGAGCCUUGAUGUGUAGGAUAGGUGGGAGGCUUUGAAGCGUGGACGCCAGUCUGCGUGGAGCCGACCUUGAAAUACCACCCUUUAAUGUUUGAUGUUCUAACGUGGACCCGUGAUCCGGGUUGCGGACAGUGUCUGGUGGGUAGUUUGACUGGGGCGGUCUCCUCCUAAAGAGUAACGGAGGAGCACGAAGGUUGGCUAAUCCUGGUCGGACAUCAGGAGGUUAGUGCAAUGGCAUAAGCCAGCUUGACUGCGAGCGUGACGGCGCGAGCAGGUGCGAAAGCAGGUCAUAGUGAUCCGGUGGUUCUGAAUGGAAGGGCCAUCGCUCAACGGAUAAAAGGUACUCCGGGGAUAACAGGCUGAUACCGCCCAAGAGUUCAUAUCGACGGCGGUGUUUGGCACCUCGAUGUCGGCUCAUCACAUCCUGGGGCUGAAGUAGGUCCCAAGGGUAUGGCUGUUCGCCAUUUAAAGUGGUACGCGAGCUGGGUUUAGAACGUCGUGAGACAGUUCGGUCCCUAUCUGCCGUGGGCGCUGGAGAACUGAGGGGGGCUGCUCCUAGUACGAGAGGACCGGAGUGGACGCAUCACUGGUGUUCGGGUUGUCAUGCCAAUGGCACUGCCCGGUAGCUAAAUGCGGAAGAGAUAAGUGCUGAAAGCAUCUAAGCACGAAACUUGCCCCGAG
This 1616-nucleotide ribosomal RNA is filed under the name Salmonella enterica. RNAcentral's name for it is "partial 23S ribosomal RNA". It matches the Rfam family "Bacterial large subunit ribosomal RNA", at positions 1203 to 2803 of the family's 2925-position model. Lineage: Bacteria; Pseudomonadati; Pseudomonadota; Gammaproteobacteria; Enterobacterales; Enterobacteriaceae. The record is from RNAcentral.